Molecule: non-coding RNA, 96 nt
Filed under: pig gut metagenome
Description: Cyclic di-GMP-I riboswitch
Rfam family: c-di-GMP-I riboswitch aptamer
About the family: GEMM was predicted in a large-scale screen for bacterial structured RNA regulatory elements. Genes associated with GEMM are involved in a diverse array of functions, including chemotaxis regulation, signal transduction, secretion and chitin.
Source: RNAcentral
CAGACAAAGGCAAACCCGGCGAAAGCCGGGGACGCAAAGCCAAGGGCCUACCCGGGAGCACCCCCUAUCCUUCCCCGUAAGGCAGCCGGUUACCGA